GGAAGCUUUUAGUAGUCCAUCUGAUGGAUACUUUUUUACACACAAAUGGCUAGAGUGCUUAAUCGAAUGUGUCCAUUCCAUAGUUAGUUAAUUCGGAUUCGCAUAUUGAUAUAGUUGAUGAUAAAAUCAUCAUUUUCUAGUUUAUUUGUAUAGAUUCGCACAUUGAUUUUAAAUUUUUAUUUUGGGAAAUAACUUAAUCUCGAGUCCUUAAUUGAAUGUGUCCAUUCUUUGUUAUGCACAAAGAAGAUCCAAACAUAGAGCUAAAUAAUCUUAAUUAACUUAGGGACCAGGAACUCUUGUAUUAUACCUAAUCAAUUUCAUGAUCUUGUUGACAAUUGCAAAAGGAAAAUUUUGUUGUGGUCAUUCAUGGACCAUUGACUCAGUAGGGUUUCUACUUAAUUUUUGAAAC
Molecule: long non-coding RNA, 409 nt
Filed under: Ananas comosus (pineapple)
Lineage: Eukaryota; Viridiplantae; Streptophyta; Magnoliopsida; Poales; Bromeliaceae
Description: long non-coding RNA (ACOM_LNC021212)
Source: RNAcentral